RNAcentral lists this transfer RNA (72 nucleotides) under Didymosphenia geminata (rock snot). Its description in RNAcentral is "tRNA-Met". It matches the Rfam family "tRNA". From Rfam's summary of the family: Transfer RNA (tRNA) molecules are approximately 80 nucleotides in length. Lineage: Eukaryota; Bacillariophyta; Bacillariophyceae; Cymbellales; Cymbellaceae. The record is from RNAcentral.
GUAAGAAUGCGGUAAUGGUUAACCGGUUAGGCUCAUGACCUAAAAAUACAAGUUCAAGUCUUGUUUCUUGCA